This 497-nucleotide ribosomal RNA is filed under the name uncultured bacterium. RNAcentral's name for it is "partial 16S ribosomal RNA". It matches the Rfam family "Bacterial small subunit ribosomal RNA", at positions 28 to 507 of the family's 1533-position model. The record is from RNAcentral.
GAUGAACGCUGGCGGCGUGCCUAAUACAUGCAAGUCGAGCGAAAGGACGCGAAGCUUGCUUUUCUGAUGUUAGCGGCGGACGGGUGAGUAACACGAGUAUAACCUACCUAUAAGACUGGGAUAACUUCGGGAAUCCGGAGCUAAUACCGGAUAAUAUUUUGAACCGCAUGGUUCAUAAGAGAAAGACGGUCUUGCUGUCACUUAUAGAUGGAUCCGCGCUUCAUUAGCUAGUUGUUAAGGUCACGGCUUACCAAGGCAAGGAUGCAUAUCCGACCUGUUAGGGGGAUCGGCCACACUAGAACUGAAACACGCUCCAGACGACUGAGGGAGGGAGCAGUAGGGAACAGGCGGCAAUGGUGGAAAACCUGACGGAGUGAGGGCGCGCGUGUGAUAAAGAUCUUCGGAUCGUAAAACUGUGUUAUUAGGGAAGAACAUAUUUGUAAGUAACUGUGGACAUCUUGACGGUACCUGAUCAGAAAGCCACGGCUAACUACGUG